CACACACACACACAUAUGCACACGUAUCGAGGCAAAAAUGGAAGUCAAGAAGCAGAAGCAGAAAAGGUAGAAUUGCGCAUUUCGAUAUCUUCUUCUAAGAUUAAAAAGAUCUCUGAUGAAAGAGCAUGCAGUGACUGGAAAUGGAUCCGACGGCAGAUUACCGCAGGUGAAAGUGAGAUUUCCGAGUUAAUCGGCCGCGGUAUCGGCAAACUGUCGGGGAAACGUUUAUCUGAUUAUCAGUUGAAACAUUUGUUCUGCUGAUCAGAUCACAUUUGAUCGAGAUGAAAAAGAGGAGAAGGAAAAACACACUCGUCUGAAAAAAAAAAAAAGAAAUCUCAACCACGAUUUUUCACAAAGAUCGAAGAUCGAAUUUUCGUUAUAAAAAUUUCAUCACCGAUCACUGAAUCGCUUCUUUUUCUAAAUUAAAAUUCCUAAAUUCGAAAAGAAAAAUUGAUCCUACAUUCGUCGAUUUGCUCGUCUGUUUUUCAGGAAACGAGAAUUAAUUGCGACGAAUACGGUUGGAAUCAAGUUGGAAAGUUGGAAGGUAAAUCAAAGAAGCAAUCGACUUAAGUGCGCGCGCCACUGUCCGCAACAUUCGACUAUACGUUAAAUCGACAAAUUAGAUUGAUCGAUUAGUUGCAUUAAUCGACGCGAACGUGGCUGGCACCGAUAUUCGGCCGAAGUUCGAGCCAGCUACUCAAGACACCUUGUUCGACGGGAUAGAUACUCGA
Long non-coding RNA from Apis florea (little honeybee), 731 nucleotides. NCBI's taxonomy places the organism in Eukaryota, Metazoa, Arthropoda, Insecta, Hymenoptera, Apidae. The record is from RefSeq and is a predicted model, not a curated record.